RNAcentral lists this ribosomal RNA (803 nucleotides) under uncultured bacterium. RNAcentral describes it as "bacterial SSU rRNA". It matches the Rfam family "Bacterial small subunit ribosomal RNA", at positions 96 to 885 of the family's 1533-position model. The record is from RNAcentral.
UGGCGAACGGGUGAGUAACACGUGGGCAACCUGCCCAAAAGAGGGGGAUAACACUUGGAAACAGGUGCUAAUACCGCAUAACCAUAGUUACCGCAUGGUAACUAUGUAAAAGGUGGCUAUGCUACCGCUUUUGGAUGGGCCCGCGGCGCAUUAGCUAGUUGGUGGGGUAAAGGCUUACCAAGGCAAUGAUGCGUAGCCGAACUGAGAGGUUGAUCGGCCACAUUGGGACUGAGACACGGCCCAAACUCCUACGGGAGGCAGCAGUAGGGAAUCUUCCACAAUGGGCGAAAGCCUGAUGGAGCAACGCCGCGUGGGUGAAGAAGGUCUUCGGAUCGUAAAACCCUGUUGUUAGAGAAGAAAGUGCGUGAGAGUAACUGUUCACGUUUCGACGGUAUCUAACCAGAAAGCCACGGCUAACUACGUGCCAGCAGCCGCGGUAAUACGUAGGUGGCAAGCGUUAUCCGGAUUUAUUGGGCGUAAAGGGAACGCAGGCGGUCUUUUAAGUCUGAUGUGAAAGCCUUCGGCUUAACCGGAGUAGUGCAUUGGAAACUGGGAGACUUGAGUGCAGAAGAGGAGAGUGGAACUCCAUGUGUAGCGGUGAAAUGCGUAGAUAUAUGGAAGAACACCAGUGGCGAAAGCGGCUCUCUGGUCUGUAACUGACGCUGAGGUUCGAAAGCGUGGGUAGCAAACAGGAUUAGAUACCCUGGUAGUCCACGCCGUAAACGAUGAAUGCUAAGUGUUGGAGGGUUUCCGCCCUUCAGUGCUGCAGCUAACGCAAUAAGCAUUCCGCCUGGGGAGUACGA